RNAcentral lists this ribosomal RNA (492 nucleotides) under uncultured Glaciecola sp. Its description in RNAcentral is "bacterial SSU rRNA". It matches the Rfam family "Bacterial small subunit ribosomal RNA", at positions 34 to 524 of the family's 1533-position model. The record is from RNAcentral. Lineage: Bacteria; Pseudomonadati; Pseudomonadota; Gammaproteobacteria; Alteromonadales; Alteromonadaceae.
CCGUUUCCGUCUGUCUCAACGUGCGAGUCGGACGGAAACAUGUCUAGCUUGCUAGAUGAUGUCGAGUGGCGGACGGGUGAGUAAUGCCUGGGAAUUUGCCUUUGUGUGGGGGAUAACUAUUGGAAACGAUAGCUAAUACCGCAUAAUACCUACGGGUCAAAGGGGGCUUCGGCUCCCGCGCAAAGAGAAGCCCAGGUGAGAUUAGCUUGUUGGUGAGGUAAAGGCUCACCAAGGCGACGAUCUCUAGCUGUUCUGAGAGGAAGAUCAGCCACACUGGAACUGAGACAUGGUCCAGACUCCUACGGGAGGCAGCAGUGGGGAAUAUUGCACAAUGGAGGGAACUCUGAUGCAGCCAUGCCGCGUGUGUGAAGAAGGCCUUCGGGUUGUAAAGCACUUUCAGUUGUGAGGAAAGGUUAGUAGUUAAUACCUGCUAGCUGUGACGUUAACAACAGAAGAAGCACCGGCUAACUCCGUGCCAGCAGCCGCGGUAAC